RNAcentral lists this transfer RNA (88 nucleotides) under Lophiotrema nucula. RNAcentral's name for it is "tRNA-Val". The record is from RNAcentral. Lineage: Eukaryota; Fungi; Ascomycota; Dothideomycetes; Pleosporales; Lophiotremataceae.
GGCUCGGUGGUGUAGUUGGUUAUCACGUCAGUCUAACAUUCUACGGAUUGCACACUGAAGGUCCCGAGUUCAAACCUCGGCUGAGUCA